UAACACGUGGGUGACCUGCCCUUAGCUCUGGGAUAAGCCUGGGAAGCUGGGUCUAAUACCGGAUAUGACUCCAUGACGCAUGUUGUGGGGUGGAAAGCCUUGUGCGGCUAGGGAUGGGCCCGCGGCCUAUCAGCUUGUUGGUGGGGUGAUGGCCUACCAAGGCGACGACGGGUAGCCGGCCUGAGAGGGCGACCGGCCACACUGGGACUGAGACACGGCCCAG
This 223-nucleotide ribosomal RNA is filed under the name uncultured bacterium. RNAcentral's name for it is "partial 16S ribosomal RNA". It matches the Rfam family "Bacterial small subunit ribosomal RNA", at positions 111 to 334 of the family's 1533-position model. The record is from RNAcentral.